RNAcentral lists this ribosomal RNA (468 nucleotides) under uncultured bacterium. RNAcentral's name for it is "partial 16S ribosomal RNA". It matches the Rfam family "Bacterial small subunit ribosomal RNA", at positions 28 to 507 of the family's 1533-position model. The record is from RNAcentral.
GACGAACGCCGGCGGCGUGCUUAACACAUGCCAGUCGAACGGAAAGGCCCUGCUUUUGUGGGGUGCUCGAGUGGCGAACGGGUGAGUAACACGUGAGUAACCUGCCCUUGACUUUGGGAUAACUUCAGGAAACUGGGGCUAAUACCGGAUAGGAGCUCCUGCUGCAUGGUGGGGGUUGGAAAGUUUCGGCGGUUGGGGAUGGACUCGCGGCUUAUCAGCUUGUUGGUGGGGUAGUGGCUUACCAAGGCUUUGACGGGUAGCCGGCCUGAGAGGGUGACCGGCCACAUUGGGACUGAGAUACGGCCCAGACUCCUACGGGAGGCAGCAGUGGGGAAUAUUGCACAAUGGGCGGAAGCCUGAUGCAGCAACGCCGCGUGCGGGAUGACGGCCUUCGGGUUGUAAACCGCUUCCGCCUGUGACGAAGCGUGAGUGACGGUAAUGGGUAAAGAAGCACCGGCUAACUACGUG